UACAGAGGUGGCAAGCGUUGUUCGGAAUUACUGGGCGUAAAGGGCGCGUAGGCGGCCUUCUUAGUCGGACGUGAAAUCCCCGGGCUUAACUCGGGAACUGCGUCCGAUACUGGAAGGCUGGAGUUCGGGAGAGGAAUGUGGAAUUCCAGGUGUAGCGGUGAAAUGCGUAGAUAUCUGGAGGAACACCGGUGGCGAAGGCGGCAUUCUGGACCGAAACUGACGCUGAGGCGCGAAAGCCAGGGGAGCAAACGGG
This 253-nucleotide ribosomal RNA is filed under the name uncultured bacterium. RNAcentral describes it as "partial 16S ribosomal RNA". It matches the Rfam family "Bacterial small subunit ribosomal RNA", at positions 524 to 776 of the family's 1533-position model. The record is from RNAcentral.